UCCUUGGUGGCUCAGAUGUAAAGAAUCUGCCUGCAGUGCAGGAGACUUGGGUUUGAUCCCUGACUUGGGAA
This 71-nucleotide transfer RNA is filed under the name Bos taurus (domestic cattle). It matches the Rfam family "tRNA". From Rfam's summary of the family: Transfer RNA (tRNA) molecules are approximately 80 nucleotides in length. Their secondary structure includes four short double-helical elements and three loops (D, anti-codon, and T loops). Further hydrogen bonds mediate the characteristic L-shaped molecular structure. tRNAs have two regions of fundamental functional importance: the anti-codon, which is responsible for specific mRNA codon recognition, and the 3' end, to which the tRNAs corresponding amino acid is attached (by aminoacyl-tRNA synthetases). tRNAs cope with the degeneracy of the genetic code in two manners: having more than one tRNA (with a specific anti-codon) for a particular amino acid; and 'wobble' base-pairing, i.e. permitting non-standard base-pairing at the 3rd anti-codon position. The record is from Rfam by way of RNAcentral. RNAcentral also lists the same sequence under 2 other names. Lineage: Eukaryota; Metazoa; Chordata; Mammalia; Artiodactyla; Bovidae.